CUAGAUCUGUAAGCUCUAAAUUGGGAAGAGCACUCGGGUCAUUACCUGAGAGGUUGGUGGUUCGAAUCCACCCAGAUCUGUC
Molecule: transfer RNA, 82 nt
Filed under: Helianthus annuus (common sunflower)
Lineage: Eukaryota; Viridiplantae; Streptophyta; Magnoliopsida; Asterales; Asteraceae
Description: tRNA HanXRQr2_Chr11g0471001
Rfam family: tRNA
About the family: Transfer RNA (tRNA) molecules are approximately 80 nucleotides in length.
Source: RNAcentral